This is an RNA transcript of Phragmites australis (common reed), 3143 nucleotides long. It is a transcript of the gene named cyclin-dependent kinase G-2, with no coding region annotated. NCBI's taxonomy places the organism in Eukaryota, Viridiplantae, Streptophyta, Magnoliopsida, Poales, Poaceae. The record is from RefSeq and is a predicted model, not a curated record. The transcript is spliced from 9 exons.
AGAGCCAACCCGUAACAACGCGGAGCGGCCGCCCUAGGAGCAGUCGCUUCCGUCCCCUUCCUCUCUUUCGCUUCGCCUCGCCGAACCCACCACCGCACGACAAGCCGCUGCGUUCCCGACCCUUCUCGCCUCCGCCUCCUCCUACGUGCGCAUCCGGCUCCCACGCGGCCGCUCGAUCCAAGGUCAGAUCCGAACCUUAGCCCGGUCCGAAUCGCGCCGAUAUUUCUUCUAGGUUUUGGCACGGAUCUAGGGUUUGCCGCGGAAUUUCGGGUGGGAUUCGUCCGAUUCGCUCAUGGCCGCUGGGCGCCACGGAGGGCACAGGGACUACGAGGCGAGGGAGCGGGAGCUCGACGCGGAGGCCUCCAGGAGGAGCAAGGAGCACCCGCACCACCACCUCGGCGGCCGCUACCGCGACGCCGACCGCCGCCGCGACGGCGGGCGCAGCAGGGGCGGCAGGGAGUUCUCCAACGGCCACGGCCGCCGACGCUCGCCGCCACCCAGGAGCCGCCUCCCUGGGAGGCUUGUGGACCGGGAGCCCGGAGAGGUGCUGAGCGGCAGCGCGUCUGAUGACUCCGGUGGGAGGUCGCAUAGAGCCAGGGAGAAUGGCGUGUCCAAUUCUAGCAGGGAGGGCGAGAUGGCGGCAGCUGCCACGGCGGGCGCAGCUGUUGCGUCACUGAGCAAGAAGAGGAAAUUCUCGCCGAUAAUUUGGGACAGGGAUAGCCCAAAGCCGCCACAUUCUGAUGCAGCUAGGGGCAAUAAAGUGGUAGAAUCUGUGCCUGCUGAGCUUCCUCCGCCUCCCCCGCUGCCUCCGCAAGAUCACAUCCCUGUGAGGUUGUCUGUGGAGAAGUCGCCUAUGGAUGCGGAGCCUACUGUUGGUAUAGAGAGUGCUGAGCAGUUGCAGGAGCAUGAGGAGAGUCGGGUGAUGGAGGAGGAAGAGGACUACCCAACAAUGAGGAACAUAUCAACUUCAAGAUGGGCGGGUACUAAUGAUGAUGAGGAAGAUGGGGCAGGACCAACGAAGAAGAAAAGUGCAUCACCUGCAGACUCCGCUGAGUUGGGGCUGAGAAAAAAGGCUGCUAGCCCAGAACUUGGUGAGGUUGUCGUCAGUGAUAUCUCUGGAGGGAGGACCAUGUCUAGGUCAUCUGACUCAGGGAGAAUGGGUAAUGAUGAGCAUGAAGAUUUUGAAGUAGAUAAAGAUGACUAUAUGGAUGUCGACAGGGAGAAGGCUAGUGACAGUGAUGCGGAAAAUCAUACGUCAGAUACUGACUCAGAGAAUGAUGCGCGCAGACCUGAAAGUCCUGAACCAGUGAAGCCACCACACAGGUGUAUCAAUAUGCUUCAAGGUUGCAGAAGUGUUGAUGAGUUUGAGAGGCUCAACAAGAUUAAUGAGGGCACAUAUGGUGUUGUAUACAGAGCGAAGGAUAAUAAGACAGGUGAGAUUGUUGCAUUGAAGAAGGUAAAAAUGGAGAAGGAGCGAGAAGGUUUCCCAUUAACCUCCCUUAGAGAAAUAAACAUCCUUUUGUCUUUCCACCAUCCUUCAAUUGUUGAUGUCAAGGAAGUAGUAGUUGGAUGUAGUCUAGAUAGUAUUUUUAUGGUGAUGGAAUACAUGGAACAUGAUCUCAAGGGUGUUAUGGAGACAAUGAAACAACCAUAUACCCAAAGUGAGGUCAAAUGUUUGAUGCUUCAGCUGUUAGAGGGUGUAAAGUAUCUGCAUGACAAUUGGGUGCUACAUAGGGAUCUGAAGACCUCAAAUCUUUUGCUGAAUAACCGCGGUGAGUUGAAAAUAUGUGAUUUUGGACUGUCUCGUCAAUAUGGGAGCCCACUAAAACCUUAUACUCAACUGGUUGUGACUUUGUGGUACAGGGCCCCAGAACUAUUGUUAGGAACAAAGGAGUAUUCUACUGCUAUUGAUAUGUGGUCCGUGGGCUGCAUUAUGGCAGAGCUUCUUGCCAAAGAACCAUUAUUCAAUGGGAAAACAGAGUUUGAACAGCUAGAUAAGAUAUUUAGAACACUUGGUACACCUAAUGAGAAGAUUUGGCCUGGCUAUGCCAAAUUACCAGGUGUCAAAGUCAAUUUUGUCAAACAACCGUAUAACAGGCUAAGGGAUAAGUUCCCAGCUGCAUCUUUUUCUGGGCGACCAAUCCUGUCUGAAGCUGGUUUUGAUCUGUUGAACAGACUGCUAACUUAUGAUCCUGAUAAGCGUAUAUCAGCAGAUGAUGCUCUGAAGCACAAAUGGUUCUCUGAAGUUCCUCUACCUAAAUCCAAGGACUUCAUGCCAACAUUCCCUGCUCUUAACGAACUGGACAGGCGUACCAAACGGUUUAUGAAGAGUCCUGACCCUCUAGAGGAGCAACGUUUGAAAGAAUUGCAGGGGAACAUAGGCAACCGUGGGCUUUUUGGCUGAACUAAAACCACUUGGGAUUUCUGUUCAUCCUAACUGUUAUGCUUCACCCUGAAUCAGCGAGGUCAGAUAUCUUCUGAGGUGAGAUGUGCCAUGGACAUGAAGUAUCACAUCUUCUCCGUGUCUAGCAGCGACUGAUAGUGUUCUUUAGCAGGCUUGAUGCCGGUUUAAGUGGAUAAGGUUUCUCCUUAUGGCCCAUCAUAGAAAUUUUGUUGCAGGAUUAACACUCGCCAUCCAGAUUGAUCAUAAAAGCAAAUAUAUCUGCCUGCAUCGUAAGGUGUGGCGUGUUGGCUUUUAUUGGUUACACCAGUUUCGCCUUUGGAUCUUCUGUAUGUAAAAUAUUCCAGAUUGAGACGAAAGAGGCGCAGUGGAAGGAUGCCUUUUGCUUUUCACCAGGAAAUCAAUGGACAUUAAUACAAAUUGGAAGCUAAGCUGUGGCUGCUUCAAGGUAGGAAGCUUGAUGGCCGUCAGUUUGUUGUACCUAAGUGACUAAAUUUUGUGGAGGGCCUUCAAAAGUGUUCAUCUUUUACUAUAUAGUGAACCAUAGUGGUCAGUCUACUAUCUUUCCUUGUACAUUCAUGUAACCAUUAUUCUAGCUGAUUUGGAGACCAUUCGUCUCUAUUUUUGUUUGCGUAGGUUGUUGCUUAUCUUCCAAUGUCAGUUCUAACUUAGCUUACUGAAAAACACCAAUCAUGUUUCUCUUUAACAGUUAAUAAAGUGAAAGAUAGUAUGUAUUGUUCUA